This 468-nucleotide ribosomal RNA is filed under the name uncultured bacterium. Its description in RNAcentral is "partial 16S ribosomal RNA". It matches the Rfam family "Bacterial small subunit ribosomal RNA", at positions 28 to 507 of the family's 1533-position model. The record is from RNAcentral.
GACGAACGCUGGCGGCGUGCUUAACACAUGCAAGUCGAACGGAAAGGCCCUGCUUUUGUGGGGUGCUCGAGUGGCGAACGGGUGAGUAACACGUGAGUAACCUGCCCUUGACUUUGGGAUAACUUCAGGACACUGGGGCUAAUCCCGGAUAGGAGCUCCUGCUGCAUGGUGGGGGUUGGUAAGUUUCGGCGGUUGGGGAUGGACUGGCGGCUUAUCAGCUUGUUGGAGGGGUAGUGGCUUACCAAGGCAUUGACGGGUAGCCGGCCUGAGAGGAUGAGCGGACACAUUAGGACUGAGAUACGGCCCAGACUCCUACGGGAGGCAGCAGUGGAGAAUAGUGCACAAUGGGCUGAAGCCUGAUGCAGCAACGCCGCGUGCGGGAUGACAGCCUUCGGGUUGUAAACCACUUUCGCCUGUGACGAAGCGUGAGUGACGGUAAUGGGUAAAGAAGCUCCGGCUAACUACGUG